GGACGAACGCUGGCGGCGUGCCUAAUACAUGCAAGUCGAACGCUUUGGUUUUCACCGGAGCUUCGCUACCACCGAAAACAAAAGAAGUGGCGGACGGGUGAGUAACACGUGGGUAACCUGCCCUCAAGCGGGGGAUAACACUUGGAAACAGGUGCUAAUACCGCAUAACAAUCAGAAUCGCAUGAUUUUGAUUUGAAAGGCGCUUUUGCGUCACUUGAGGAUGGACCCGCGGUGCAUUAGCUAGUUGGUGAGGUAACGGCUCACCAAGGCCACGAUGCAUAGCCGACCUGAGAGGGUGAUCGGCCACACUGGGACUGAGACACGGCCCAGACUCCUACGGGAGGCAGCAGUAGGGAAUCUUCGGCAAUGGACGAAAGUCUGACCGAGCAACGCCGCGUGAGUGAAGAAGGUUUUCGGAUCGUAAAACUCUGUUGUUAGAGAAGAACAAGGGUGAGAGUAGAAUGUUCACCCCUUGACGGUAUCUAACCAGAAAGCCACGGCUAACUACGUGCCAGCCGCUGC
RNAcentral lists this ribosomal RNA (522 nucleotides) under uncultured bacterium. RNAcentral's name for it is "bacterial SSU rRNA". It matches the Rfam family "Bacterial small subunit ribosomal RNA", at positions 27 to 518 of the family's 1533-position model. The record is from RNAcentral.